This 85-nucleotide transfer RNA is filed under the name Lapidilactobacillus dextrinicus. Its description in RNAcentral is "tRNA-Leu". It matches the Rfam family "tRNA". From Rfam's summary of the family: Transfer RNA (tRNA) molecules are approximately 80 nucleotides in length. Lineage: Bacteria; Bacillati; Bacillota; Bacilli; Lactobacillales; Lactobacillaceae. The record is from RNAcentral. RNAcentral also lists the same sequence under 1 other name.
GCGGGCAUGGCGGAACUGGUAGACGCGCAAGACUAAGGAUCUUGUGACCGCUUAGGUCGUGGAAGUUCGAGUCUUCUUGCCCGCA